RNAcentral lists this ribosomal RNA (253 nucleotides) under uncultured bacterium. RNAcentral describes it as "partial 16S ribosomal RNA". It matches the Rfam family "Bacterial small subunit ribosomal RNA", at positions 524 to 776 of the family's 1533-position model. The record is from RNAcentral.
UACGGAGGGUGCAAGCGUUGUUCGGAAUCACUGGGCGUAAAGGGCGUGUAGGCGGUCCGCUAAGUCUGAUGUGAAAGCCCGAGGCUUACCCUCGGAAGUGCAUUGGAGACUGGCGGACUGGAGUCCCGGAGAGGAGGGUGGAAUUCCUGGUGUAGCGGUGAAAUGCGUAGAUAUCAGGAGGAACACCGGUGGCGAAGGCGGCCCUCUGGACGGUGACUGACGCUGAGACGCGAAAGCGUGGGGAGCAAACAGG